UACGUAGGUGGCAAGCGUUGUCCGGAUUUAUUGGGUUUAAAGGGUUCGUAGGCGGGUCUUUAAGUCAGUUGUGAAAUACGGCAGCUUAACUGUCGAGGUGCAAUUGAUACUGGAGGACUUGAGUACAGGCGAGGUAGGCGGAAUUGACGGUGUAGAGGUGAAAUGCAUAGAUAUCGUCAAGAACACCGAUAGCGAAGGCAGCUUACUAGACUGUAACUGACGCUGAGGCACGAAAGUGUGGGGAUCAAACAGG
RNAcentral lists this ribosomal RNA (253 nucleotides) under uncultured bacterium. Its description in RNAcentral is "partial 16S ribosomal RNA". It matches the Rfam family "Bacterial small subunit ribosomal RNA", at positions 524 to 776 of the family's 1533-position model. The record is from RNAcentral.